RNAcentral lists this ribosomal RNA (279 nucleotides) under uncultured bacterium. Its description in RNAcentral is "partial 16S ribosomal RNA". It matches the Rfam family "Bacterial small subunit ribosomal RNA", at positions 506 to 784 of the family's 1533-position model. The record is from RNAcentral.
UGCCAGCCGCCGCGGUAAUACGGAGGGGACUAGCGUUGUUCGGAAUUACUGGGCGUAAAGCGCACGUAGGCGGAUUUGUAAGUCAGGGGUGAAAUCCCGGGGCUCAACCUCGGAACUGCCUUUGAUACUGCAAAUCUCGAGUCCGGAAGAGGUGAGUGGAAUUCCUAGUGUAGAGGUGAAAUUCGUAGAUAUUAGGAAGAACACCAGUGGCGAAGGCGGCUCACUGGUCCGGUACUGACGCUGAGGUGCGAAAGCGUGGGGAGCAAACAGGAUUAGAUA